UGUACUUGAUUUAAAUGGUUAUGGCUUCGAAUAUCAUAUCUAGGAGCUAAGGGUGGUCACGGUUGCGAAACUGUUGAUAAUGUCAAAGGGAAAGAAAGAGUCUUCAAUUGAUCAAGACAACGAAGAAUCGAAUUUUGAAUACGUCAUACGCGAAGCUUACGGAGAAAUUUUCCUAAACAUAUCCAGCAUUAGAGAUACUAUGAAAAGAAGAACCAGCAAGGACGAAAGAACUGAUAAUAAGCAAAGUAUUUCUUUGCUACCGGUAGUCGAAAAACAGACUUUAGUCGCGGACGAAGAAGCCUACAAGGGAGUUAUGGGUGCCAGAACAAAGCAGAGAGGAAAAUUGAGUGAACUUGGACAACCAAAGCAGUACAGUAUAGCAGAAAAGACAGGAUCUAUUGAGAGUUCGUCUAUCUUCGGCCAAAAUGCUACAAUUAAAUCAGGGAAAACGAGAGAGGACAAGAAAGAUGUUACGGAAAAGACGGACAAAAAACAUUUAAGACAGCCAUCAUGUUCAAAACUCGAGAGAGAUAUUCGUAAAGCUUUGGCCGAAAUGAGACUGCAUGAUUUCGAUUCAGAAACUGUGGGAACGGCUUCAAAUGAUGGUUCAGAAGGAUUAACUUAUUGUAAAACAGUUCGAACAAAGAACGAUGUGUUGUACGUUGUGAAGGGGAAUGUAUAACGCAUGCGCAGUCAUAACAUGGCCGUCGUGUUUCGAAGUGAGCCCCGAGUCUUCUCUUGAAGCCAACAACUUCUGAAUCUCAUCUCAAGGCCGUAAGCCAAAACGUUUCUUUUAUCAAUGACACAGAGCACAUAAUGAUUUUCAUUAUGGCGAAAAUAAAUUAGGUACUGGAUCUAGA
RNAcentral lists this unclassified non-coding RNA (860 nucleotides) under Actinia tenebrosa (Australian red waratah sea anemone). RNAcentral's name for it is "sperm-associated antigen 7 homolog, transcript variant X3". Lineage: Eukaryota; Metazoa; Cnidaria; Anthozoa; Actiniaria; Actiniidae. The record is from RNAcentral.